RNAcentral lists this ribosomal RNA (687 nucleotides) under uncultured bacterium. Its description in RNAcentral is "bacterial SSU rRNA". It matches the Rfam family "Bacterial small subunit ribosomal RNA", at positions 139 to 813 of the family's 1533-position model. The record is from RNAcentral.
UGGGAUAACACCUGGAAACAGAUGCUAAUACCGGAUAACAACACUAGACGCAUGUCUAGAGUUUGAAAGAUGGUUCUGCUAUCACUCUUGGAUGGACCUGCGGUGCAUUAGCUAGUUGGUAAGGUAACGGCUUACCAAGGCAAUGAUGCAUAGCCGAGUUGAGAGACUGAUCGGCCACAUUGGGACUGAGACACGGCCCAAACUCCUACGGGAGGCAGCAGUAGGGAAUCUUCCACAAUGGACGAAAGUCUGAUGGAGCAACGCCGCGUGAGUGAAGAAGGGUUUCGGCUCGUAAAGCUCUGUUGGUAGUGAAGAAAGAUAGAGGUAGUAACUGGCCUUUAUUUGACGGUAAUUACUUAGAAAGUCACGGCUAACUACGUGCCAGCAGCCGCGGUAAUACGUAGGUGGCAAGCGUUGUCCGGAUUUAUUGGGCGUAAAGCGAGUGCAGGCGGUUCAAUAAGUCUGAUGUGAAAGCCUUCGGCUCAACCGGAGAAUUGCAUCAGAAACUGUUGAACUUGAGUGCGGAAGAGGAGAGUGGAACUCCAUGUGUAGCGGUGGAAUGCGUAGAUAUAUGGAAGAACACCAGUGGCGAAGGCGGCUCUCUGGUCUGCAACUGACGCUGAGGCUCGAAAGCAUGGGUAGCGAACAGGAUUAGAUACCCUGGUAGUCCAUGCCGUAAACGAUGAG